RNAcentral lists this ribosomal RNA (871 nucleotides) under uncultured bacterium. RNAcentral's name for it is "bacterial SSU rRNA". It matches the Rfam family "Bacterial small subunit ribosomal RNA", at positions 46 to 916 of the family's 1533-position model. The record is from RNAcentral.
GCCUAAUACAUGCAAGUCGAGGGGCAUCACGGGUAGCAAUAUCUGGUGGCGACCGGCGCACGGGUGCGUAACACGUAUACAAUCUGCCUUCUACAGAGGGAUAGCCCGGAGAAAUUCGGAUUAAUACCUCAUAAUAAAUGAAUUGGCAUCAAUUUAUUUUGAAAGUUCCGACGGUAGAAGAUGAGUAUGCGUCUGAUUAGCUAGUUGGUGAGGUAAAGGCUCACCAAGGCGACGAUCAGUAGGGGAUCUGAGAGGACUACCCCCCACACUGGUACUGAGACACGGACCAGACUCCUACGGGAGGCAGCAGUAAGGAAUAUUGGACAAUGGAGGCAACUCUGAUCCAGCCAUGCCGCGUGCAGGAUGACUGCCCUAUGGGUUGUAAACUGCUUUUGUACGGGAGAAAACCCUUUCACGUGUGAAAGGUUGAUAGUACCGUAAGAAUAAGGAUCGGCUAACUUCGUGCCAGCAGCCGCGGUAAGACGAAGGAUCCAAGCGUUAUCCGGAUUCAUUGGGUUUAAAGGGUGCGUAGGCGGAUAGAUAAGUCAGUGGUGAAAGCCGGUCGCUCAACGAUCGAAUUGCCAUUGAUACUGUUUAUCUAGAAUAUAGAUGAUGUUGGCGGAAUAUGACAUGUAGCGGUGAAAUGCAUAGAUAUGUCAUAGAACACCUAUUGCGAAGGCAGCUGACAAAACUAUAAUUGACGCUGAUGCACGAAAGUGCGGGGAUCAAACAGGAUUAGAUACCCUGGUAGUCCGCACAGUAAACGAUGAUAACUAGAUGUUUGCGAUAUACCGUAAGCGUCCAAGCGAAAGCGAUAAGUUAUCCACCUGGGGAGUACGCCCGCAAGGGUGAAACUCAAAGGAAUUGACGG